AUCUAAAUAGCUUAUAAUAAGAGCGUGACAUUGAAGAUGUUAAGGAGGUUAUUAAAAUCUUUAGAUA
This 67-nucleotide transfer RNA is filed under the name Soliperla sp. ZTC-2018. RNAcentral describes it as "tRNA-Phe". It matches the Rfam family "tRNA". From Rfam's summary of the family: Transfer RNA (tRNA) molecules are approximately 80 nucleotides in length. Their secondary structure includes four short double-helical elements and three loops (D, anti-codon, and T loops). Lineage: Eukaryota; Metazoa; Arthropoda; Insecta; Plecoptera; Peltoperlidae. The record is from RNAcentral.